GACGAACGCUGGCGGCGUGCUUAACACAUGCAAGUCGAACGGAAAGGCCCUGCUUUUGUGGGGUGCUCGAGUGGCGAACGGGUGAGUAACACGUGAGUAACCUGCCCUUGACUUUGGGAUAACUUCAGGAAACUGGGGCUAAUACCGGAUAGGAGCUCCUGCUGCAUGGUGGGGGUUGGAAAGUUUCGGCGGUUGGGGAUGGACUCGCGGCUUAUCAGCUUGUUGGUGGGGUAGUGGCUUACCAAGGCUUUGACGGGUAGCCGGCCUGAGAGGGUGACCGGCCACCUUGGGACUGAGAGACGGCGCAGAAGCCUACGGGACGCAGUAGUGGGGAACCUGGCGCAAUGGCGGGACGCCUGAGGCAGCAACGCCGCGUGCGGGAUGACGGCCUUCGGGUUGUAAACCGCUUUCGCAUGUGACGAAGCGUGAGUGACGGUAAUGGGUAAAGAAGCACCGGCUAACUACGUG
This 468-nucleotide ribosomal RNA is filed under the name uncultured bacterium. RNAcentral describes it as "partial 16S ribosomal RNA". It matches the Rfam family "Bacterial small subunit ribosomal RNA", at positions 28 to 507 of the family's 1533-position model. The record is from RNAcentral.